ACGAACGCUGGCGGCGUGCCUAACCCCUGCAAGUCGCACGCUUCUUUCCUCCCGAGUGCUUGCACUCAAUUGGAAAGAGGAGUGGCGGACGGGUGAGUAACACGUGGGUAACCUACCCAUCAGAGGGGGAUAACACUUGGAAACAGGUGCUAAUACCGCAUAACAGUUUAUGCCGCAUGGCAUAAGAGUGAAAGGCGCUUUCGGGUGUCGCUGAUGGAUGGACCCGCGGUGCAUUAGCUAGUUGGUGAGGUAACGGCUCACCAAGGCCACGAUGCAUAGCCGACCUGAGAGGGUGAUCGGCCACACUGGGACUGAGACACGGCCCAGACUCCUACGGGAGGCAGCAGUAGGGAAUCUUCGGCAAUGGACGAAAGUCUGACCGAGCAACGCCGCGUGAGUGAAGAAGGUUUUCGGAUCGUAAAACUCUGUUGUUAGAGAAGAACAAGGACGUUAGUAACUGAACGUCCCCUGACGGUAUCUAACCAGAAAGCCACGGCUAACUACGUG
RNAcentral lists this ribosomal RNA (507 nucleotides) under uncultured bacterium. Its description in RNAcentral is "partial 16S ribosomal RNA". It matches the Rfam family "Bacterial small subunit ribosomal RNA", at positions 29 to 507 of the family's 1533-position model. The record is from RNAcentral.